UGACUGACAGACAGAUAGAAUUCUUGGUUUUCGGCUGUGCUAUAACUAUAAUAAUAUAAGCUAAUGUGUUGAUGGAUGAUAAUUUGUUCAGUUUCCUCGGCACGUAUUUUGCUUUAUACUCUUCCAGCAUUCGAUACUUUAUUAUCCUAGAAAGUUCAUCCAAAAAUAAAAUUAUAAACUAAUGUUCCGCUAAAAAUUCUGUCGACAAUGAUUUUAAGAUCAUUAUUUUCUGUGUUAUCAUUAAGUCCUAAUAAUCUAACGAGUAAUAUCCACAAGCUCACUUGUCCCACAACAUGGAAAAGUAUAUUAAAAAUAUCACCAUCACCAUGUGAUAUUUAUAUAAGAACUAUUGCGGUGUCAACUACAUCAUAUAAAGGUAGAACGAGGGCAAAGGUGAAAAGUGAUUUUGAUUCAACCAAAGCAAGAAUAGUCUUAGAUCUCAACUUGAAAUCACCAGAAGAUGCUUUACCCUUUUAUAAAUUACCACUAAGAACAUUGGUUCACAUACACAACACUACAAAAGAGGAUGUAAAAAAAGGAUUUUGUCAAAAUAGACUUUAUUACAUUUCAUCACGUCUUAAGGUACCACCGUCAAUGCUAAGAGAAAAGCUUGUUAUGAGGACUUUCAUUUAUAGCUUAUCAUUUGAUUGGAUUGAGAAAGCAUUAGAUGUAUUACUAGAAAUGAAUGUGGCUGCUGAUCGAAUAAUGAGGGACUUGUGGGUUUUGAAGUAUCACCAUGAAACAAUUCGUGAAAGACUUGUAAGGGUAAAAGGUAUGGGUGUAGAAAAUCUAUAUCCAUGGAUGGUGAGAUGUUCUGAAGAUAUAAUGAAUAGAUUUUUGGCUAUUUCACAAGAAACAAAGGACAUUUUGGGAGACAGUGUAUCAAAACAAACUUAUCUUGCUAACCGUCUUAAUGUCUCUGUUGACACUGUUCAAGAAAUGUGUUUAAAAAUACCUGCACUGCAAACCAUUCGAGUGACAAAGGUGAAACAUUUUCUGGAUUUUCUUAUUACUGAGGGCUUUGAUGUGGAAGAAAUAGCCAAUAAGCCUAGAGUGUUAUCAGCGUCUCAGAAGACUGUAAAGCAGAGGCUUGACAGGCUCCGUGAAUUGGGGUUAAACCAAAUAAAUUUAAAUGUACUCUGUAGGAGCAAGAAAGAUUUCAAAAAGUACUGUGAAUCAAUUGAAUCGUUAUCGAAGGAAGGUAAGUCAUAUUUAUAGGACAUGAUUCUAUCAUAUUUCAUUACCCAGCAAAUAAUUUAAGCAAGAGUUGCUGUACUUAAAUAAUAAUGGGUUACAAUUGUGUGUAUAUGAACAUAUUCAAUAUAUAUCUAUUAAGACUACAAAUAACAUGCAAAAAAAAAUUUCAUGCACUGCAAAAUGUCCUAGGGUGUAGGCAAAAUCUAGUCAAGUGUAAGGGCUUCUUCACAUGUACCACAACUACACCACGUCGCAGCGACAAAAUGUGGUCAAGCUGUGACUGCGUGGGAAUAGUUUCGUAGCGGCUUUUUGCAGUUGCGUUGUGGUACCGACAAAAUGUCGAUGUGGUUGCGUUGUCGCAGUCGUUGCGAUGCCGAUGUGGUAACCACGUGGUCAUGUGUAAUGUAAAUAUGUACCUAGAUGGAGGAAAGAUUGUUGUUGCUAUCCUUCUUUAUCCAUGUCGUGACGAUGUGAGUGCUGGGGUUGCCGUCGCGAUGUGCUCGAUAACGAUAAAAUGUGGUACGUGUAAAUUGUAAUAUUAAUUUUCAAUACAAAAUAUACUCCCAACCACAUGGCGUCUUCGCGACUGUGGUACAUGUGAAGAAGCCCUUAAAUGCAACAUCAGUGAGUAUGCUCUUUAACACUAAACAGCUUUAAUCAAUUUGCAUGCGAUUUAGAGUAGGCACAGAGACAGAACUCUGAGAAAGUACCGAGGACUUAAACUAGUUAUAGUUCGGCCAUUCAGAGAAUGCGUUCCUGA
This 1957-nucleotide unclassified non-coding RNA is filed under the name Helicoverpa zea (corn earworm). RNAcentral's name for it is "transcription termination factor, mitochondrial, transcript variant X4". Lineage: Eukaryota; Metazoa; Arthropoda; Insecta; Lepidoptera; Noctuidae. The record is from RNAcentral.